Molecule: ribosomal RNA, 292 nt
Filed under: uncultured bacterium
Lineage: Bacteria
Description: partial 16S ribosomal RNA
Rfam family: Bacterial small subunit ribosomal RNA
Source: RNAcentral
GUGCCAGCAGCCGCGGUAAAACGUAGGUACCGAGCGUUAUCCGGAUUUACUGGGCGUAAAGCGCGUUCAGGCGGUCUGGCAAGUCGGGCAUGAAAUCUCUCGGCUCAACCGGGAGGGGUUGUCCGAUACUGCUGGACUGGAGGGCAGUAGAGGGUGGUGGAAUUCCGGGUGUAGUGGUGAAAUGCGUAGAGAUCCGGAGGAACACCAGUGGCGAAAGCGGCCACCUGGACUGUACCUGACGCUCAAACGCGAAAGCUAGGGGAGCGAACGGGAUUAGAUACCCUUGUAGUCC